Molecule: unclassified non-coding RNA, 329 nt
Filed under: soil metagenome
Description: partial contains 5.8S ribosomal RNA, internal transcribed spacer 2, and large subunit ribosomal RNA
Rfam family: 5.8S ribosomal RNA (bases 1-120)
Source: RNAcentral
GAUGAAGAACGUAGCGAAAUGCGAUAAGUAAUGUGAAUUGCAGAAUUUAGUGAAUCAUCGAAUCUUUGAACGCACAUUGCGCCCCCUGGUAUUCCGGGGGGCAUGCCUGUUCGAGCGUCAUUACAACCCUCAAGCUCUGCUUGGUGUUGGGCCCCGCCGCCCCGGCGGGCCCUAAAAUCAGUGGCGGUGCCGUCCGGCUCCGAGCGUAGUAAUUCUUCUCGCUCUGGAGGUCCGGGUGUGUGCUCGCCAGCAACCCCCAAUUUUUUUCAGGUUGACCUCGGAUCAGGUAGGGAUACCCGCUGAACUUAAGCAUAUCAAUAAGCGGAGGA